Molecule: ribosomal RNA, 498 nt
Filed under: uncultured bacterium
Lineage: Bacteria
Description: partial 16S ribosomal RNA
Rfam family: Bacterial small subunit ribosomal RNA
Source: RNAcentral
GGACGAACGCUGGCGGCGUGCCUAAUACAUGCAAGUUGAGCGCUGAAGGUUGGUACUUGUACCAACUGGAUGAGCAGCGAACGGGUGAGUAACGCGUGGGGAAUCUGCCUUUGAGCGGGGGACAACAUUUGGAAACGAAUGCUAAUACCGCAUAAAAACUUUAAACCCAAGUUUUAAGUUUGAAAGAUGCAAUUGCAUCACUCAAAGAUGAUCCCGCGUUGUAUUAGCUAGUUGGUGAGGUAAAGGCUCACCAAGGCGAUGAUACAUAGCCGACCUGAGAGGGUGAUCGGCCACAUUGGGACUGAGACACGGCCCAAACUCCUGCGGGAGGCAGCAGUAGGGAAUCUUCGGCAAUGGACGAAAGUCUGACCGAGCAACGCCGCGUGAGUGAAGAAGGUUUUCGGAUCGUAAAACUCUGUUGGUAGAGAAGAACGUUGGUGAGAGUGGAAAGCUCAUCAAGUGACGGUAACUACCCAGAAAGGGACGGCUAACUACGUG